This 337-nucleotide unclassified non-coding RNA is filed under the name soil metagenome. RNAcentral's name for it is "partial contains 5.8S ribosomal RNA, internal transcribed spacer 2, and large subunit ribosomal RNA". The stretch from base 1 to 120 matches the Rfam family "5.8S ribosomal RNA", at positions 35 to 154 of the family's 154-position model. The record is from RNAcentral.
GAUGAAGAACGUAGCGAAAUGCGAUACGUAAUGUGAAUUGCAGAAUUCAGUGAAUCAUCGAGUCUUUGAACGCACAUUGCGCCCUCUGGUAUUCCGGAGGGCAUGCCUGUCCGAGCGUCAUUUCUGCCCUCAAGCACGGCUUGUGUGUUGGGUGUGGUCCCCCCGGGGACCUGCCCGAAAGGCAGCGGCGACGUCCGUCUGGUCCUCGAGCGUAUGGGGCUCUGUCACUCGCUCGGGAAGGACCUGCGGGGGUUGGUCACCACCAUGUUUUACCACGGUUGACCUCGGAUCAGGUAGGAGUUACCCGCUGAACUUAAGCAUAUCAAUAAGCGGAGGA